CAUAGCCCGUGACGUCACUUCCUCCUUCACCAGCCCAUUCCCGGAUGCUGCGGAAGAAGUAUCAUGGAAGAGUUGGUGCCUAUCUCCUGCGCUCAUUGACUGAGGUACAGGAUGCACCCUUGACAGGUAUGAUCAGAAG
Molecule: long non-coding RNA, 139 nt
Organism: Xiphophorus couchianus (Monterrey platyfish)
Lineage: Eukaryota; Metazoa; Chordata; Actinopteri; Cyprinodontiformes; Poeciliidae
Exons: 3
Source: RefSeq, a predicted model, not a curated record